This 467-nucleotide ribosomal RNA is filed under the name uncultured bacterium. RNAcentral's name for it is "partial 16S ribosomal RNA". It matches the Rfam family "Bacterial small subunit ribosomal RNA", at positions 28 to 507 of the family's 1533-position model. The record is from RNAcentral.
GAUGAACGCUGGCGGCGUGCUUAAUACAUGCAAGUCGAACGGAAAGGCCCAAGCUUGCUUGGGUACUCGAGUGGCGAACGGGUGAGUAACACGUGGGUGAUCUGCCCUGCACUUCGGGAUAAGCCUGGGAAACUGGGUCUAAUACCGGAUAGGACCACAUUUUGGAUGGUGUGGUGGAAAGUUUUUCGGUGUGGGAUGAGCUCGCGGCCUAUCAGCUUGUUGGUGGGGUAAUGGCCUACCAAGGCGUCGACGGGUAGCCGGCCUGAGAGGGUGUACGGCCACAUUGGGACUGAGAGACGGCCCAGACUCCUACGGGAGGCAGCAGUGGGGAAUAUUGCACAAUGGGCGCAAGCCUGAUGCAGCGACGCCGCGUGGGGGAUGACGGCCUUCGGGUUGUAAACUCCUUUCGCUAGGGACGAAGCGUUUUUGUGACGGUACCUGGAGAAGAAGCACCGGCUAACUACGUG